RNAcentral lists this ribosomal RNA (402 nucleotides) under uncultured bacterium. Its description in RNAcentral is "partial 16S ribosomal RNA". It matches the Rfam family "Bacterial small subunit ribosomal RNA", at positions 355 to 774 of the family's 1533-position model. The record is from RNAcentral.
UGGGGAAUAUUGGACAAUGGGCGAAAGCCUGAUCAAGCCAUGCCGCAUGAGUGAAGAAGGCCUUUGGGUUGUAAAGCUCUUUUAGUGAGGAAGAUAAUGACGGUACUCACAGAAGAAGUCCUGGCUAACUCCGUGCCAGCAGCCGCGGUAAUACGGAGAGGGCUAGCGUUAUUCGGAAUUAUUGGGCGUAAAGGGCGCGUAGGCUGGUUAAUAAGUUAAAAGUGAAAUCCCGAGGCUUAACCUUGGAAUUGCUUUUAAAACUAUUAAUCUAGAGAUUGAAAGAGGAUAGAGGAAUUCCUGAUGUAGAGGUAAAAUUCGUAAAUAUUAGGAGGAACACCGGUGGCGAAGGCGUCUAUCUGGUUCAAAUCUGACGCUGAAGCGCGAAGGCGUGGGGAGCAAACA